UUGCAGGCUGCAACUCGCCUGCACGAAGUUGGAAUUGCUAGUAAUCGUGGAUCAGCAUGCCACGGUGAAUACGUUCCCGGGUCUUGUACACACCGCCCGUCACACCAUGGGAGCCGGUAAUACCCGAAGUCAGUAGUCUAACCGCAAGGAGGACGCUGCCGAAGGUAGGAUUGGCGACUGGGGUGAAGUCGUAACAAGGUACC
Molecule: ribosomal RNA, 203 nt
Filed under: uncultured bacterium
Lineage: Bacteria
Description: partial 16S ribosomal RNA
Rfam family: Bacterial small subunit ribosomal RNA
Source: RNAcentral